CUAAAGCCAAGGUAUGAGAAGCAUGGCAGCUCUGCUGUGGUCCCUGUCCUGUGAGCCAGGUGAAUCUCAUCAUUUCAGAAGUUCUCUCUUUAGCCUUAAAGCCACUACAUCAGCACUGUUACUGCUUUAUCCAGCCCCUCAGCUUUCAGGAGCAUUGUUCCAUAGGUCAUUGCAGGCUGAGUGCUUCUUGGUGGGAUUAGUUCUGCUGCCUCUACCACGUAGGUAAUGCCUUUGUUCCAGACUGUCAGUUGUUUAAUUGGGAAGAGUGUUUGCUUCUUGCUGCACUAGGUCUGAGCUGGAUCCCUGAGUUUUGCCAGGUUCUAAUCUUGCAUUUUCUGUAUCCCAUUUUCAGGAAGAUCUCUUAGCUGUUUGUUCUUCUAGGAUACAGUUGAGGACAGAGUUGCAGGAAAAUGUGAUGGCCCAAAAGAAAGCAGGAAGGAAGGAAGAGAGGGCUUCUAGUA
This 461-nucleotide long non-coding RNA is filed under the name Homo sapiens (human). RNAcentral's name for it is "HSALNT0155281". Lineage: Eukaryota; Metazoa; Chordata; Mammalia; Primates; Hominidae. The record is from RNAcentral.